GCCGUGGCGGGCGCGGCCUACGGGGCCCACGGAAUGCGCCUCAGUGACCGGGACGAGUAUCAGAAAGAGCUGUACGAGACCGCCAAUCGCUUCCACCUCCUGCACAGCCUGGCCCUGCUGGCGACGCCGCACUGCCGCCGCCCCCACCUGGUGAGAGACCCCCCGGCAGCCCGAAACCGGGGAGAUUCAACCCAAAAAUACACCCCGAAAUCGGGGAAAUUCACCCCAAAAAUCCACCCCGAAAUGUGAAAAAUUCAACCCAAAAAUCCACCCCAAAAUGUGAAAAAUUCAACCCAAAAAUACACCC
Molecule: long non-coding RNA, 307 nt
Organism: Passer montanus (Eurasian tree sparrow)
Lineage: Eukaryota; Metazoa; Chordata; Aves; Passeriformes; Passeridae
Exons: 3
Source: RefSeq, a predicted model, not a curated record